Molecule: ribosomal RNA, 253 nt
Filed under: uncultured bacterium
Lineage: Bacteria
Description: partial 16S ribosomal RNA
Rfam family: Bacterial small subunit ribosomal RNA
Source: RNAcentral
UACAGAGGUCUCAAGCGUUGUUCGGAAUUACUGGGCGUAAAGGGCGCGUAGGCGGCCUGUUAAGUCGAACGUGAAAUCCCUGGGCUCAACCCAGGAACUGCGUCCGAUACUGGCAGGCUUGAAUCCGGGAGAGGGAUGUGGAAUUCCAGGUGUAGCGGUGAAAUGCGUAGAUAUCUGGAGGAACACCGGUGGCGAAGGCGGCAUCCUGGACCGGUAUUGACGCUGAGGCGCGAAAGCGUGGGGAGCAAACAGG